GGACGUGGAUGAGCGGUAGGGCGUCUGCUUUGCAGGCCGGAGGCCCCUGGUUUGAUCCCGGGCAUGUCCU
Molecule: non-coding RNA, 70 nt
Organism: Podarcis lilfordi (Lilford's wall lizard)
Lineage: Eukaryota; Metazoa; Chordata; Lepidosauria; Squamata; Lacertidae
Source: the annotation of a GenBank genome assembly